UGUUCCGUGAUCCACAGCAGCAUCAGGUUGCUGAGCAUGAUUUGCCCACCACCAGAUGCCAGCAUUGAUCACAGAAUGGGAGCUCCACCCUCCUGGCCUUAGGAGUGGCCCCGGACCAGUGCCUGACCUGGCCACCUGCUGGAGCUGGGCCUGCACAGUUGAGAAUCUCAUUUGCUGUAUUCUGUGUUGCCCCUAAAAUAGGUGUACAGAACCUUUGGCCCACCAGCUUUUGGUGACUACAACUCCCAACAGCCCCAGCAAGGAUGACCAAUGGCCUGGGAUGGUGGAAGUUAUUGUUCAACAGCACCUCGAGGGCCAAAGGUUCCCCACACCUGCCUUAAAAUGAUAACGUCCCAAACAACUGUUGCUGCUCGCCUCCUGUUCCAUCAGUUGGAGUCCUGGAUGCGGAUCGUGGGGAAAAGCAGCCGGUGGUGGUGGGGAAGUUGUAGAAGUAAAAGAACAAACUGAUGAAGCACCCACCCCCCUGCCUGUUCUCAACUGCAAAUUGGGCUUUCCCAGCUUCGCGGGUUUUGGCGUAAGGGGAAAACUCUUGGCCAAACAUCUAGCCUAGCCCUUAAACCAGAACUGGCUCCAGCUUUGAGAGAGCCCAGGCCGCAUUCCUUCAUGCGCAGCGUUCUAGGCGCGUCAUGCCUGUUGUGAGCAGGGGCAAAAGUGGGUGGAACAAGAGGUGCAGCCUUUAGCUUUAUACCGUGACAGUCAGAGGUUUCUGCAUAUACCCACAGCUGACAUACAUCUCUCUGUCCUCCUCUAUCCAAGCAAGCAAGAGGCAUUAGAACAGUUUAAGGACAAAAAGCACUCGAGGAAGGAGCAGAGCAGGGCUGGGGAGGAGUGUGGACUGGGAGGAGUCCAAGGGUCAGACAGAAGGACCUGGAGGGCUACAUUUAGGCCCUCGGCCUGAGGUUCCACCUCCUGCUCUACAUCAGAGGGCUCCUUCUGGCUUAUCAGGCAGCCAUGCCAAUGGCAGGCAAUGGUGGUCAGCACCAGAAGCCUGGCUGGGAGAGCUGCUAUUUAAAUUUCCCACAAUGCCCCUGCCACAGCACUGCUGUAGGGUACUGUGGGCGAUUUAAAUGGCUCCUCCUUCACCCAGACGAUAUUUCAAAGGGGCCCUCACACUAAGGCUGGUGAUGGGCCCCACCAGGGCAAUAGGAUCCCAGCAGCAACUGCCUAAGGAACCCGGUGCUGGAACCUGGCCAGGCUCAAAUUCUCACCCUAGGACAACCAUGCCCAUCCUGGUGCCCUCCAGAAUGUUUUGGACCACAACUCACAUCAGCUCAGUCGUGCUGGCUAGGGCUGAUGAGAGUUGUUGUCCAAAAUAUUUGGAGGGUGCCAAGUAGGAGAGGUCUACCCUACGACAACAGCUACACGAGGAAGGCCUAUUGGUUAGUGGGCAGAGCAUUGGCUCUGCCUGCAGAAAGCCCAAGGUUCAGUCCCCGGCAUCUCCAUCUUUCAUCUCCAUCUUUCCAAUCUUGCAGGCUGGGAAAGAUUCCCUGUCUGAAAACCUGGAGAGUUGCUGCCAGUCAGUGUAGACAACACUGAGGUGGCCUGACUCAGUAUAAGGCAGCUUCCUAUCUUCCUAACAACCGGGAAUUUCGUAGUGCUUUUCAUUAACGUGAUGUGUGUGAGUGGGGGAGGGGAAGCCACACUGAAUCUGAGCCAGCCUCUCGUGCAACAGCACUUCAUUUAGCUGCUUAAUUGCUUUUAUUGUCCAUCUUGUUAAAUAAUAACCUAAUGGUUAUUUACAUUUUCAAAGCUUGCCUGGAGCCAUCAUCAAGAAGGACUAGUCAGCAGCUAAUUAUUUACACGACUAUUAAAUGUCUAUCUAUCGAUUAACUCCCAAAGAAAUGAGCUCCAAAUGGAAGCUGAUUUGCAGAAGACAGAUGGAUGGCUAUUGGAAUUGCCUUAAUCCACGAAAUGGAAAUGGACUGCCUUCAAGUCGAUCCCAAUUUAUGGCGACCUUAUGAACAGGAUUUUCAUGUGUUAGUCGCUUGGAGACCUUCAGGUAAGAAGUGACUGAAAUGAAAUGAACUGCCUUCAAGUUGAUUCCGACUUAUGGCGACUCUGUGAAUAGAGUUUUCAUGAAAUGUGGAAAACUGAGUCUAAGUUUGGAAAAAUGAGAAACUUGGAGAACCCCAAUUGACAGAUUUGCCCAUCCCUGCUUGAAAAUGGAAAUAGACUGCCUUCAAGUCGAUCUCGACUUAUGGCGACCCUGGGAAUAGGGUUUUCAUGGCAACGUGUGCUAGGCUUUGUUAGGGCUCAGCGACCACAUCUGUACUUCAAAGUCAGGGUAACUUCAAUCUUGUUCCAUAGGGAACUGGGAUCGACAACAGCUUCCCUGGUCAGGUGCAGAGCGCAUUCCUUCCUUUUACUACUUAAGAACCACAGCCAGUCUGCACGGAAGCGUCCCCAGCUCAGAGAGGGCGACGAACUGUCUUCCGCCGUGGCCGCCUCUCUUGACAUCAAACCAACAACGGUCUUGACGCAUUGCAAAAGAAGCGCGGCUAAUCUCGCCUGACAAAGGCGGGGGCGCGAGGGUUCUUUGACAGUGGCCAGCAGAGCUCAAAGCUGCGGUGGCAGCCGCUGGGAACGAAGCUCAGUACGGCACGAGGGAGGGGAGGAGAUCUCCCUGCCCAAUUGGAUGACGUCCGUAUGCAAAGCAGUUGGAAAGCCGCGGCCAAUUGGGAGGCAGCCUAGCUCGUCGUAUUUAUAGAUCCUAUUUAAAGAGCCCUCGGGAGACUUUCGCUCUCUUUCUCUUUGCGUUGCAGGGUGGUGUCCGGUGUUGCUCUUGCAACAGGCGCGCGCACACAGAGCGAGCUGUCGGAGGAACCUUUUCUGAUCUCUUUCGCUGCUUCUUGGGAGUGAAAUACAUUAUUAUGUGUGGUAUUCGAAGCUAGCUCAGAAGUUAAUGCACGCGACGACUUUAGGUUCAUUCGUUUCAAUGGGUCUUUAGUCUAAGUAGCCUUAGUUGAAUUUUGUUGUUGUUAUGUACCUUCAAGUUGAUUACGAUGUUAGACGACCCUAUGAAUCAGUGACCUCCAAAAGCAUCUGUCAUGAACCACCCUGUUCAGAUCUUGUAAAUUCAGUCUGUGGUUUCCAUUAUGGAAUCAAUCCAUCUCUUGUUCGGCCUUCCUCUUUUUCUGCUCCCUUCUGUUUUUCCCAGCAUUAUGGUCUUUUCUAGUGAAUCAUGUCUUCUCAUGAUGUCUCCAAAGUAUGAUAACCCCAGUUUCAUCAUUUUAGCUUCUAGUGACAGUUCUAGUUUAAUUUGUUCUAACACCCAAUUAUUUGUCUUUUUCGCAGUCCAUGGUAUGUGCAAAGCUCUCCAACACCACAUUUCAAAGGAGUUGAUUUUUCUCUUAUCUGCUUUUUUCACUGUCCAACUUUCACAUCCAUACAUAACCUUAGUUGAAUAACCCUAUAAUUUUAUAUGGUUGUAUUCAGCUAUGUUUUACUCAGAGCAGUCUCAUUGGAAUUAAUGGACCUAUGUUAGUGAUGUUUAUCCAUUUUGAUGUGUCUGUUUGGCUCUGAUUAAAACUUAAAUACAGCCCAUAAAUAUAAAAUACUAAUAUAAUAUCUUG
This is a long non-coding RNA of Rhineura floridana, 3593 nucleotides long. RefSeq lists it as uncharacterized. The transcript has 4 exons. The record is from RefSeq and is a predicted model, not a curated record. NCBI's taxonomy places the organism in Eukaryota, Metazoa, Chordata, Lepidosauria, Squamata, Rhineuridae.